UACGGAGGGUGCAAGCGUUGUCCGGAUUUAUUGGGUUUAAAGGGUGCGUAGGCGGUUCGUUAAGUCCGGGGUGAAAGCCCACUGCUCAACAGUGGAACUGCCCUGGAAACUGGCGAACUUGAGUACAGACGAGGGUGGCGGAAUGGAUGGUGUAGCGGUGAAAUGCAUAGAUACCAUCCAGAACCCCGAUUGCGAAGGCAGCUGCCUAGACUGUAACUGACGCUGAGGCACGAAAGCGUGGGGAGCGAACAGG
RNAcentral lists this ribosomal RNA (253 nucleotides) under uncultured bacterium. Its description in RNAcentral is "partial 16S ribosomal RNA". It matches the Rfam family "Bacterial small subunit ribosomal RNA", at positions 524 to 776 of the family's 1533-position model. The record is from RNAcentral.